Long non-coding RNA from Oncorhynchus keta (chum salmon), 350 nucleotides. RefSeq lists it as uncharacterized. The transcript is spliced from 3 exons. Lineage: Eukaryota; Metazoa; Chordata; Actinopteri; Salmoniformes; Salmonidae. The record is from RefSeq and is a predicted model, not a curated record.
GAGAACAGCAGGGCCAGCAGCGCCAUCUCCUGGCCAAGAUGGGAACAGCUGGUGAUACCUAGAGCUCCCAGCAUCUUCUCUGUCACCUUCCCAAUGCCUGAGAUCUGGCACACCAAAAGACCAUCAUCUGUAUUUCUCGUUCUCAUAGAACCUGGAGCCCUGCAGAAGAGAGGGGAACAGAGAGGUGGGUGACCUCCAGUAACAGGCCAUGGAGCAUGGAGAAGAGAACCCACUGGACCUCAACACACGCCCUCCAUUCCAGCCUUGUUGUCAUUGAGGGCCAUUCUUGAGAGGAAGCCCUCCCCACUGGAAGAGGAGGUCCCCCCUGUCGCCAUACUUCCUUCAAGUGA